AGUGAACGCUGGCGGUAGGCCUAACACAUGCAAGUCGAACGGCAGCACAGUAAGAGCUUGCUCUUACGGGUGGCGAGUGGCGGACGGGUGAGGAAUACAUCGGAAUCUACUUUUUCGUGGGGGAUAACGUAGGGAAACUUACGCUAAUACCGCAUACGACCUACGGGUGAAAGCAGGGGAUCUUCGGACCUUGCGCGAUUGAAUGAGCCGAUGUCGGAUUAGCUAGUUGGCGGGGUAAAGGCCCACCAAGGCGACGAUCCGUAGCUGGUCUGAGAGGAUGAUCAGCCACACUGGAUCUGAGACACGGUCCAGACUCCUACGGGAGGCAGCAGUGGGGAAUAUUGGACAAUGGGCGCAAGCCUGAUCCAGCCAUACCGCGUGGGUGAAGAGGGCCUUCGGGUUGUAAAGCCCUUUUGUUGGGAAAGAAAAGCAGCAGGUUAAUACCCCGCUGUUCUGACGGUACCCAAAGAAUAAGCACCGGCUAACUUCGUG
This 492-nucleotide ribosomal RNA is filed under the name uncultured bacterium. Its description in RNAcentral is "partial 16S ribosomal RNA". It matches the Rfam family "Bacterial small subunit ribosomal RNA", at positions 29 to 507 of the family's 1533-position model. The record is from RNAcentral.